This 488-nucleotide ribosomal RNA is filed under the name uncultured bacterium. Its description in RNAcentral is "partial 16S ribosomal RNA". It matches the Rfam family "Bacterial small subunit ribosomal RNA", at positions 30 to 507 of the family's 1533-position model. The record is from RNAcentral.
AUUGAACGCUGGCGGCAUGCUUUACACAUGCAAGUCGAACGGCAGCACCGGGAGCUUGCUCCUGGGUGGCGAGUGGCGAACGGGUGAGUAAUGUAUCGGAACGUGCCUGGUAGUGGGGGAUAACUACUCGAAAGAGUGGCUAAUACCGCAUGAGAUCUUUGGAUGAAAGCGGGGGACCUUCGGGCCUCGUGCUACUGGAGCGGCCGAUAUCAGAUUAGGUUGUUGGUGGGGUAAAGGCCUACCAAGCCUGCGAUCUGUAGCUGGUCUGAGAGGACGACCAGCCACACUGGGACUGAGACACGGCCCAGACUCCUACGGGAGGCAGCAGUGGGGAAUUUUGGACAAUGGGCGCAAGCCUGAUCCAGCAAUGCCGCGUGCAGGACGAAGGCCUUCGGGUUGUAAACUGCUUUUGUACAGAACGAAAAGUCUCUGGCUAAUAUCUAGAGAUCAUGACGGUACUGUAAGAAUAAGCACCGGCUAACUACGUG